This 72-nucleotide transfer RNA is filed under the name Ovis aries (sheep). It matches the Rfam family "tRNA". From Rfam's summary of the family: Transfer RNA (tRNA) molecules are approximately 80 nucleotides in length. Their secondary structure includes four short double-helical elements and three loops (D, anti-codon, and T loops). Lineage: Eukaryota; Metazoa; Chordata; Mammalia; Artiodactyla; Bovidae. The record is from Rfam by way of RNAcentral.
UCCCUGGUAGCCAGCGGCCAAGACUCUGCACUCCCAAUGCAGGAGACCCAGGUUUGAUCCCUGGUCAGGGAA